Molecule: ribosomal RNA, 440 nt
Filed under: uncultured bacterium
Lineage: Bacteria
Description: partial 16S ribosomal RNA
Rfam family: Bacterial small subunit ribosomal RNA
Source: RNAcentral
CCUACGGGAGGCUGCAGUAGGGAAUAUUGCUCAAUGGGGGAAACCCUGAAGCAGCAACGCCGCGUGGAGGAUGAAGGUUUUCGGAUUGUAAACCCCUUUUGUUAGAGAAGAAAAUGACGGUAUCUAACGAAUAAGCACCGGCUAACUACGUGCCAGCAGCCGCGGUAAUACGGAGGGUGCAAGCGUUACUCGGAAUCACUGGGCGUAAAGAGCGCGCAGGCGGGGUAGCAAGUCAGAUGUGAAAGCCUGUGGCUUAACCACAGAACUGCAUUUGAAACUGGUAGUCUGGAGUAUGGGAGAGGUAGGUGGAAUUCUUGGUGUAGGGGUGAAAUGCGUAGAGAUCAAGAGGAAUACUCAUUGCGAAGGCGACCUGCUGGAACAUAACUGACGUUGAUGCGCGAAAGCGUGGGGAGCAAACAGGAUUAGAUACCCGUGUAGUC